Molecule: ribosomal RNA, 442 nt
Filed under: uncultured bacterium
Lineage: Bacteria
Description: bacterial SSU rRNA
Rfam family: Bacterial small subunit ribosomal RNA
Source: RNAcentral
AAGUCGAGCGAGGAGAUUCCUCGGAUGAUCCUAGCGGCGGACGGGUGAGUAACACGUGGGCAACCUGCCUACAUAGAGAGGAAUAGCCUUACGAAAGGGAGAUUAAUACCUCAUAACAUUGCAGUUUCGCAUGGAACAGCAAUUAAAGGAGUAAUCCGCUAUGAGAUGGGCCCGCGGCGCAUUAGCUAGUUGGUGAGGUAACGGCUCACCAAGGCGACGAUGCGUAGCCGACCUGAGAGGGUGAUCGGCCACAUUGGGACUGAGACACGGCCCAGACUCCUACGGGAGGCAGCAGUGGGGAAUAUUGCACAAUGGGGGAAACCCUGAUGCAAGCAACGCCGCGUGAGUGAUGACGGCCUUCGGGUUGUAAAGCUCUGUCUUCAGGGACGAUAAUGACGGUACCUGAGGAGGAAGCCACGGCUAACUACGUGCCAGCCGCAGC